CUGAGUACUACACUCUCUACCCUUCGUGAACUAUUAUACCUGUUGCUUCGGCGGCGCCCGCGAGGGUGCCCGCCGGUCUCAUCAGAAUCUCUGUUUUCGAACCCGACGAUACUUCUGAGUGUUCUUAGCGAACUGUCA
This 138-nucleotide unclassified non-coding RNA is filed under the name soil metagenome. Its description in RNAcentral is "partial internal transcribed spacer 1". The record is from RNAcentral.